RNAcentral lists this ribosomal RNA (427 nucleotides) under Coryssocnemis iviei. RNAcentral describes it as "partial 16S ribosomal RNA". It matches the Rfam family "Bacterial large subunit ribosomal RNA", at positions 1836 to 2585 of the family's 2925-position model. Lineage: Eukaryota; Metazoa; Arthropoda; Arachnida; Araneae; Pholcidae. The record is from RNAcentral.
AACCUUAGUUUAAAGUAACGCCUGCUCAGUGUAAAUUCACAAAUAAAUAGCUGCAAAUCAAUUGUACUAAGGUAGCAUAAUCAUUAGCCUUCUAAUUAAAGGAUAGAAUGAAUGGCAAAACAAUACAUCAACUGUCUCAGUUAAUCUAAAUUAAAUUAUAGAUAAAGUAAAAAUACUUCAAAUAAAAAGAAAGACGACAAGACCCUGAUAAACUUAACAUUUAGCUGGGGCGGCAUAUAAAGUACAUCUUAAUAUUAUUUAAACACAACACAAAACUAUAAAAAAAUAAAAAGAUAAAGUUACUACAGGGAUAACAGCGCCACACUUCUUAAAAGAUCAUAUUCAAAGAAGUAUAUACGACCUCGAUGUUGAAUUAAUUAUCCUUUAAAGAGCAAAAGCUUUAAAUAUUCAAGGAGGUCUGUUCGAC